UACAGAGGGGGCAAGCGUUAUUCGGAAUUAUUGGGCGUAAAGGGCGCGUAGGCGGCUUACUAAGUCAGGGGUGAAAUCCUGGAGCUCAACUCCAGAACUGCCUUUGAUACUGGUAAGCUCGAGUCCGGGAGAGGUGAGUGGAACUGCGAGUGUAGAGGUGAAAUUCGUAGAUAUUCGCAAGAACACCAGUGGCGAAGGCGGCUCACUGGCCCGGUACUGACGCUGAGGUGCGAAAGCGUGGGGAGCAAACAGG
RNAcentral lists this ribosomal RNA (253 nucleotides) under uncultured bacterium. RNAcentral describes it as "partial 16S ribosomal RNA". It matches the Rfam family "Bacterial small subunit ribosomal RNA", at positions 524 to 776 of the family's 1533-position model. The record is from RNAcentral.